CCUACGGGAGGCAGCAGUGGGGAAUAUUGGACAAUGGGCGCAAGCCUGAUCCAGCCAUGCCGCGUGCAGGAAGACGGUCCUAUGGAUUGUAAACUGCUUUUGUACGGGAAGAAACACUCCUACGUGUAGGAGCUUGACGGUACCGUAAGAAUAAGGAUCGGCUAACUCCGUGCCAGCAGCCGCGGUAAUACGGAGGAUCCAAGCGUUAUCCGGAAUCAUUGGGUUUAAAGGGUCCGUAGGCGGUUUAGUAAGUCAGUGGUGAAAGCCCAUCGCUCAACGAUGGAACGGCCAUUGAUACUGCUAGACUUGAAUUACUAGGAAGUAACUAGAAUAUGUAGUGUAGCGGUGAAAUGCUUAGAUAUUACAUGGAAUACCAAUUGCGAAGGCAGGUUACUACUAGUGGAUUGACGCUGAUGGACGAAAGCGUGGGGAGCGAACAGGAUUAGAUACCCUGGUAGUCCACGCCGUAAACGAUGGAUACUAGCUGUUCGGGGCAACCUGAGUGGCUAAGCGAAAGUGAUAAGUAUCCACCUGGGGAGUACGUUCGCAAGAAGUAGAACGUUACAAAUAGUUAAGUUAGUACGGCGUUGAGAGAGCCGACGGACGACGACGAGGGGAGGAGG
RNAcentral lists this ribosomal RNA (623 nucleotides) under uncultured bacterium. RNAcentral's name for it is "bacterial SSU rRNA". It matches the Rfam family "Bacterial small subunit ribosomal RNA", at positions 338 to 1533 of the family's 1533-position model. The record is from RNAcentral.